CCUUUGAUCAAUGGACCACAAAGAGUUAUCCAUCAUUUAUUUGGCAUGGAUGAUUGAGUGCAAAUUUGUUCUUAGUUUUAAAGCCUUUCUUUCUCAUCUUGAAUUUAAAGUUUUUAUAUACCUCAUUGUCCUCGUAUGGAUGUACUCUUCAUAAUUGUUUCUCUCUUUAUUUGUUCAUAUAUCAAAUAUAUUCUUCCCUGCAGUCCCGAUUUCUGCCAUAUACCCCGUAGUGGUUAACAUGGAGAAAGCACAUUUACUACGUGCUCAACAAGAAAUUCCAAUAUCGGAAUAUGGGGCAAGUGUUAUAAUUUCACUGAUGUGGGACUACUUUCUCAAUGCUCUCCAUACAAGAUUAGGCAAAGCUGAAUUCUGUUGUGGACCUUCUGUGGUCAUGGCAUUCAGAACGGGUGGGAAAAGUGGGGAAAGCUUUGUGGAGAUUGCUUUCAUAUAGGAGAUGUUUUCAGAAUAGGAUGUGGUCAUUAGGGAAAUUAAAUGUAUUUUUUUGAGUUGGGCUUCUUAUGUAAAGCCAGUUAAUCCCGCUAAUCUCUCAUAUGUUUUUCAAUUGUAUAGGUGGGUUGUUUU
Long non-coding RNA from Magnolia sinica, 582 nucleotides. RefSeq lists it as uncharacterized. The record is from RefSeq and is a predicted model, not a curated record. NCBI's taxonomy places the organism in Eukaryota, Viridiplantae, Streptophyta, Magnoliopsida, Magnoliales, Magnoliaceae. The transcript has 2 exons.